This 765-nucleotide ribosomal RNA is filed under the name Triticum aestivum (bread wheat). RNAcentral describes it as "partial small subunit ribosomal RNA". Lineage: Eukaryota; Viridiplantae; Streptophyta; Magnoliopsida; Poales; Poaceae. The record is from RNAcentral.
AUGAAGUGGCAGCCGUUCAUGUCCACAUUUGUGCUGAAUAAGAUUUGUGAGCUCAUCUUUAGUGGAGUUAGGACUGACAAGGGCUUCAAGGAGGUGCACUUGAACACCGUUGCGAAGCAGGUGUUCGAGUUCUAUGGGCAGGAGGUGUCUGCCACCCAGGUGUACAACCACCUGAGGAAGUGGAGAGGUCGAUGGAUCCAAGUGUCCAAGCUGAGAGACCUUAGCGGCGCCUCAUGGGAUGAGAACACUUGCUCCAUAGUUCUGGAGGCAGAGCAUUACGUCGGCCAUGUCACAGACCACCCAAGGGACGCUGAGUUCCUCAGCACACCCAUACAGAACUGCAGCCAGAUGCAGCACAUCUUCUCCUUCGGGCUGGCAACUGGGAAGCAUGCCAUGGGCUUGGGGGAGCCUCUUGGUUCUCCCAUGCCAGACUUCCCUGGGACCCUGGACAUCGAGGUCCUUGAUGGCCUUGACAAGCCCUUUCAGAAUCCCUUUGAUAAGCCAUUUCACCCCGUCCAUGAUAGGAAGAGGAAGAGAGGAGGCCUGAUGGAGGAGGAGAUCAAUGUCUUUUGCAGCAUAACUAAGGCGGUGACGAAGGUGGCAACAUCCAUCAGGGAGUGCAAGCCCCUCGAUGUCCACCCUGACCUGUAUGGCACUGUCAUGACCCAGAGUGGCUUCAGCGACAAGGCUGUCAUGGCAGCUCUCAGCCAUCUGCUUGACAACAAGGCCCAGGGUGUUGGGUUCGUUGCCAUGGCAGACGCUUAG